CAACUUUCCUGGGAGGGGAGGGAAACCCUGAUCAAGAAGGGGGUUCACCCAGGCGAGGCUCCCAUGCUCGGCCGUGUUCCCCCUCGAAUUCCCAAAUGUGGGAAUCUCGACUGCAUAAUUUAUGGUAGUGGGGGACUGCGUUCGCGCUCUCCCCUG
Molecule: small nuclear RNA, 156 nt
Organism: Cyprinus carpio (common carp)
Lineage: Eukaryota; Metazoa; Chordata; Actinopteri; Cypriniformes; Cyprinidae
Product: U1 spliceosomal RNA
Exons: 1
Source: RefSeq, a predicted model, not a curated record